Vigna angularis (adzuki bean) is the source of this 185-nucleotide long non-coding RNA. RefSeq lists it as uncharacterized. The transcript is spliced from 3 exons. The record is from RefSeq and is a predicted model, not a curated record. Lineage: Eukaryota; Viridiplantae; Streptophyta; Magnoliopsida; Fabales; Fabaceae.
CAAAAUUCAGGGAAAGGAAAGGGCUUAUUGAGAAAGAUGUGGUGAGAACUGAUAGAUCGAUCCUUUCAAAUAUUCUACGAGAUAUACUGUUGACCUAUUCAUUUUACAACUUUGAUCUUGGUUAUUGCCAGAGCAAAAGAAACAAAAAGUUUCUGAAAUAAAGACUGGAAUUGAUGAAGCUGAAG